GGGAGCCCUCACAGCCACAGAGUAGCAGAGCUCUGUUCGAACCUACGUCUGUCGCACUCCAAAUUCUGAACCCUUUCUCCAAACACGCCUCUGCCCCUGUGUCUACAACACCCAUUCAGGCAAAGCACAGUAUGCUGCGAAUCUGCUUUACUGGGAGCCAGUGGUCGUUUAGGUCUCUGUUCCCUCACCUGCAAAAUUAAGUUGACUCUAAGGUCAACUUUGGUCACCUCCUAGUUCACAUUGUCUAACAGUAGCCCGUACUCCCCAAUCUGGUAUCCUUUGUCUCCUGAAAGGACCCAGCAGUCCAAGGUCCAAGGGAGGAAUUCAGAAGCAACACUGUUUAAUCUAGAAAAAUACGUUAAAUUGCUGGGCUGAGACUGACAGUCAAAGGUCCCAAAGCAAAAACAACUGAGAGUCCCAUGAUACUGGCCUAGCUGCUUUUCUAAUAUUUGCCUUACUCAGCGGACACAGCAGAAAGAAAGAAGAAGGGAACUUGGUUAUUGUGAAAACCUGAUUGUAAACACAGAGGAGAGGAUAGUGUCAGCAUCUUGUAAGUAUUACUGGUGAUCAGGGACUGGUUCAGAAUCUUGGCAAGGGUUUGGUCCUUUGUAUUUCCAGAUGAAUUUUAUAAUUAGCUUGUCAAUUUCUACAAGAUGCCUGCUGGUAUUUUUAUUGGGAUUGGAAUUAAAAACUGCUGGACUUGGAGCACAAUGGUCAAGGCCACACAUGACACGUCACUCUACCACAAAGUCAUCCACUAAAUCUCUACUAGAGGCAGAAAACUUCUCUCAACAUG
RNAcentral lists this long non-coding RNA (796 nucleotides) under Homo sapiens (human). RNAcentral describes it as "long non-coding RNA NONHSAT169372.1". Lineage: Eukaryota; Metazoa; Chordata; Mammalia; Primates; Hominidae. The record is from RNAcentral.